Molecule: non-coding RNA, 1787 nt
Organism: Alosa sapidissima (American shad)
Lineage: Eukaryota; Metazoa; Chordata; Actinopteri; Clupeiformes; Clupeidae
Source: the annotation of a RefSeq genome assembly
CUGCAGCCCACAAUGACAGAAAACCCAGCUGCACUGAACAAAAACCCUCCCACAAGGGCAGAGACAAUCUGCUUUUUUCAAUUAUUCAUAGUCUUAAAGGUCUGAUUUUAUUCCUCAAUUAUAGGCUACUUUAUUUUGUGAUAAUUUAACGACUUCAUGCUGCUGAUAUUCAUGUUAAAUCAAAAUAACAGUUUUGAGUUAAAAUACUGAUGUUGAUUAAACAUUGGACAUUCAUAGUCAAAGACACAAUAUGAGAAAUAAUCUAUGAGAUAAAAAUAUGUUGUUGUACAAUACUGAAGUUGAAAGCACAGAGUUGGAAUCAAUAAUUAUUAAAUAUGUUUCCAGAUUAUUUCUGAACUCAACCCCAAUCAGUUUUCCUCUUGGAAGUGGAGUGGUUAACAGAAACUGGGAAUUAUCAGGCAUAUACAAAAUAUAUCUGUCAAAAUCUGUCUUUCAAUGAAGUUCCAUAGCAAUAAGUGAACUAAAUACUCACGGAAUGAUAUGAAAGACGUGAAUCAUAAGCACAAAACCUGUUGGCAUUGACAGGGCUCAUUAUAUGUGAAUUGAACUUUCUGCAGCUGUGUACGUUUUAGUAAUUAGUAUCCUCAUAUUCAUUUAGAUGAUAUAUGUUUGUGUGAAGGAAAGAUAGACAUGUUAACAUGUCGGCAAACUUCUACCAGUGACACUCACUCAGAGUGGUGUUUGUAAGGUUUUGCAUGACCUUUAGGUAAGUAGCUCAUAGUUUUAGACCAAAAUUAUAGUGCUUUAAAACACCAGGACAGUUUCUGUUCUUUUUUUAAAUGAAGUAAGAAUGAGUGUGUUCAUCUACCUGUUUACUGAGUUGAAAUAUAAUGUCAGGGCAAAUUAAUUGUGUGUCUCUGUGUGUGUUAUGCAAAAGAUUGACCACAUGGUGGCAAUAUAGGCUUAGUUUGAGCAUUGAUUUAUUGUACAUCAGUGGGCAUGAUUAUACUCCAUCAGUUAAAAUCAUUAUGAAUUUAUUCCAAGUAAAAGGUGAAUGAUAUGUUAAUUAUGCCACAUUACUUUGAAGCUUAUACAAAAAUAUAAGAUAGACACUGGUCCAGUGACUCACCCAGAUCACGUGUUUCCAAGUAAGAUGGGCGGAGUUGAAUAUGUGACAACCGGUGAGAGAAAAGACUAGGGAUAGUUUUGUACUCUCUGCUGUAGUCUACUGAUAACAAAGAGAAGCUUAGAGAAAGCAUGAUUCUUUGGGUUGGAAAAAGUUUUAUACUUGUCUUUUGCAUACUUGAAUGCAGAGGACAGGACACUGUUAAUCAGACUCAAAGGGAGGUGAUUCAUGUUGAAGGAAGAUCAGUGACUCUCAAAUGUGAAUACACAACAACUAGAUCACUACAGGAGCUCUACUGGUACAUAAAAAGAUCAAAGGACUUCCCCAAACUUAUUCUCAAAAGAGAUAAUUUUGGAAUUGGGGAAAAUGGCACAGAGUUCAAUGAGAGAUUUCACUCUGAACUAGAUUCCUCCUCAAAUUCAGUUCCUCUGACCAUCCAGAAUCUGCAAGUGUCUGACUCUGCUGUGUACUACUGUGCUCUGAGGCUCACAGUGACAGCUGCACCCUCAGUGCAUGUACAAAAACUACAGAUUUCACACAAGCAUCUUCCUCUGUCCUCUACACAAUACCAUAAUGGAUUAGCCUAACUCUAACCCUAAACUUACCCAAGUACAACAAUGCCCUUACAUCCAGGGUCACUUGUCCCAUUUAACUCAUUGAGUGCCAAAAACUUAAUAUUACGUUUUUCCUUCCCAUGCGU